Molecule: small RNA, 68 nt
Filed under: Klebsiella pneumoniae
Lineage: Bacteria; Pseudomonadati; Pseudomonadota; Gammaproteobacteria; Enterobacterales; Enterobacteriaceae
Also listed under: 1 other name
Description: partial RtT sRNA
Rfam family: RtT RNA
About the family: This family represents a bacterial cis-regulatory element known as RtT RNA. The exact function of RtT is unknown although it is thought that it may be involved in changing the cellular response in relation to amino acid starvation.
Source: RNAcentral
AGGAUAACGUUGCGUCAGCAACGGCCCGUAGGGCGAGGCGAAGCCGAGUCAUCCUGCACGACCCACCG